UAGUCAUUCUUCAACUUCCUCAAAGGUCUAAUACUCGUGGAAGAGGGGCAAUGAACCGUAACACCGCGCCGCGAAUGGACGUCCAUCAUCGACAAUGGGUUGUGAUUUUUCCAAAAAGCAAGAGGAAUCGACCAUGAUACUACCUCAUCCAACGCGUUCUUCGUUCUGAUGGAGCUUUGAAUGGGAUUUUCGCUCCAAUGGAUUCUUCAAUCGAUCUUGGCUCGAAGCCUUUUAUCGCUUUUCGGAGCGAUUCCUCCGCCUACUGAUCGAUUUGAUGAUGGAUAUUCUCGGCAACAUUGAGUUUGGAGAGGAUUCACUUCUCCGUUUCGGCGAGCACGGGGUUGGAAAACUGAUGUUGAAAGGAAGACGCCGCAAUUGCGCUUUAAGAAAUCAACACAACUGUAUCAAGUUAAUUUUCCCCAAUCAUGGAUUCUCGCUUGAACUUAUCAACAAUCUCUUAAGUGAUUCAAUUUGAGCCGGCGUGAAUCGAAGCGAAUACGAUGCUUUACCGUAACGAUAAGACAGUUUGAGCGAUUCAGACGCGAAUGGGUGUGAAUUAAAGCGAAUACAACGCUUUACCAGGUUCAACUGCAGAAACAGAAGCAGGCUUUGUCUUGAAUUCCGUUCAUAGAAAGGGACUUGAGAAGAAAACGAAAAUGUGAGGAAGGGAAUCGAAGGCGUAUUGUUGAUUGAAGAAGGAUUCUGCAUGAGGAUAGUGAAAGAAUCCCGUUGAACUGAAGGUAAGGUUGAGUUUUGAGGAUUCUGCAGGUAGGGGAUGAGCCAGCCUAAUGUGACUUUGUUGCAGAAUUUGCAGAGUCAAAUUUGCAGGUUUGAAUUGAUUUGCGGCUACAGGUUGCAGAACUUUGAAGAAGGUGAAAGCAAUUGGGAGAGUGAGAAAUGAAGAGGAUGAAGAAAGAGAUGGAAUAACUCUGAAGAAUCACCAUGAUGUUAGCUUUUAUAGUGUGUGAAUGCCCAAGUUGGAUGAUACUUCUAUUGCCGACAUGAAACGAAAGAGUGCAGAAUGCACGAUGUCGGUAUGUUAUGGAAUACAGGUACAAACGAACGAACCUGGUAGUAGCUUACAUCCAGAGAGAUGCCAUGAGUCCUGGUAGCAAAAGGGUUAAUUGAUCCUUGGCGCUUAGUGGUUGAAACGGAACCGAAGUGAGCUUGGUGAUUGUUUUCCCGUUAUUACUUAAAGGCUUGAUUUGGGUGUGCACCAUUAGAUUUAUCAAGUGAAGGUUAUGAAUGGUACAGUAUCGACUAGGUUGGACUGAAAUGUCAAAGCCAAAAACUCAUUGGUGGUUGGAAGGCGGUUGGUCACACGGUUUCGUAGCAGUCACGGCAGGACAGGUUGCACCUUUUUCGGAGAUGUCUUGGAACUGGAGUUUGGAAUUGUACAUAUUUAAAGUACUUUGUGGUUCCUGAGCAUACAUGUUAACUCUAGAUUAUUUAGAGUUUGCACUUGAUUUGUUCAUAAGUAAAUUGGGUUGUAACCGAAUGAUAAAUCAAAAUUGUAACCGAGUUAAAAGGUAGUAAUCAGUACUUAAGAGGGAAGUUGAACAGUUU
Molecule: long non-coding RNA, 1566 nt
Organism: Lathyrus oleraceus (garden pea)
Lineage: Eukaryota; Viridiplantae; Streptophyta; Magnoliopsida; Fabales; Fabaceae
Exons: 5
Source: RefSeq, a predicted model, not a curated record